UACGAGGGGGCCGAGCGUUGUUCGGAAUUAUUGGGCGUAAAGGGUGCGUAGGCGGCCUGACAAGUCUGAUGUGAAAUCCCUGGGCUCAACCCAGGGCCUGCAUCGGAAACUGUCGGGCUUGAGUAUGGGAGAGGUGAGUGGAAUUUCCGGUGUAGCGGUGAAAUGCGUAGAUAUCGGAAGGAACACCUGUGGCGAAAAGCGGCUCACUGGACCAUUACUGACGCUGAGGCACGAAAGCUAGGGGAGCAAACAGG
Molecule: ribosomal RNA, 254 nt
Filed under: uncultured bacterium
Lineage: Bacteria
Description: partial 16S ribosomal RNA
Rfam family: Bacterial small subunit ribosomal RNA
Source: RNAcentral